Molecule: ribosomal RNA, 582 nt
Filed under: uncultured bacterium
Lineage: Bacteria
Description: bacterial SSU rRNA
Rfam family: Bacterial small subunit ribosomal RNA
Source: RNAcentral
ACGGGUGAGUAAUGUCUGGGAAACUGCCUGAUGGAGGGGGAUAACUACUGGAAACGGUAGCUAAUACCGCAUAACGUCGCAAGACCAAAGAGGGGGACCUUCGGGCCUCUUGCCAUCAGAUGUGCCCAGAUGGGAUUAGCUAGUAGGUGGGGUAACGGCUCACCUAGGCGACGAUCCCUAGCUGGUCUGAGAGGAUGACCAGCCACACUGGAACUGAGACACGGUCCAGACUCCUACGGGAGGCAGCAGUGGGGAAUAUUGCACAAUGGGCGCAAGCCUGAUGCAGCCAUGCCGCGUGUAUGAAGAAGGCCUUCGGGUUGUAAAGUACUUUCAGCGGGGAGGAAGGCGAUAAGGCUAAUAACCUUGUCGAUUGACGUUACCCGCAGAAGAAGCACCGGCUAACUCCGUGCCAGCAGCCGCGGUAAUACGGAGGGUGCAAGCGUCAAUCGGAAUUACUGGGCGUAAAGCGUACGCAGGCGGUCUGUCAAGUCGGAUGUGAAAUCCCCGGGCUCAACCUGGGAACUGCAUUCGAAACUGGCAGGCUAGAGUCUUGUAGAGGGGGGUAGAAUUCCAGGUGUAGCG